Molecule: ribosomal RNA, 253 nt
Filed under: uncultured bacterium
Lineage: Bacteria
Description: partial 16S ribosomal RNA
Rfam family: Bacterial small subunit ribosomal RNA
Source: RNAcentral
UACGGGGGGGGCAAGCGUUGUUCGGAAUUACUGGGCGUAAAGGGUGCGUAGGCGGUUCGCUAAGUUGGAUGUGAAAACUCUGGGCUUAACCCAGAGCCUGCAUCCAAUACUGACGAGCUAGAGUUCUGGAGGGGGUAGCGGAAUUCCUGGUGUAGCGGUGAAAUGCGUAGAUAUCAGGAGGAACACCGGUGGCGAAGGCGGCUACCUGGACAGAGUCUGACGCUGAGGCACGAAAGCUAGGGGAGCAAACAGG